UACGUAGGGUGCAAGCGUUGUCCGGAAUUACUGGGCGUAAAGCGCGCGUAGGCGGCUUUGUAAGUUAGAGGUGAAAGCCCGGAGCUUAACUCCGGAACUGCCUUUAAGACUGCAUCGCUAGAAUUGUGGAGAGGUGAGUGGAAUUCCGAGUGUAGAGGUGAAAUUCGUAGAUAUUCGGAAGAACACCAGUGGCGAAGGCGACUCACUGGACACAUAUUGACGCUGAGGUGCGAAAGCGUGGGGAGCAAACAGG
Molecule: ribosomal RNA, 253 nt
Filed under: uncultured bacterium
Lineage: Bacteria
Description: partial 16S ribosomal RNA
Rfam family: Bacterial small subunit ribosomal RNA
Source: RNAcentral